This 1441-nucleotide ribosomal RNA is filed under the name uncultured organism. RNAcentral describes it as "SSU rRNA". It matches the Rfam family "Bacterial small subunit ribosomal RNA". The record is from RNAcentral.
GCGGCAUGCCUUACACAUGCAAGCCUAACGGCAGCACGGGUGCUUGCACCUGGUGGCGAGUGGCGAACGGGUGAGUAAUACAUCGGAACAUGUCCUGUAGUGGGGGAUAGCCCGGCGAAAGCCGGAUUAAUACCGCAUACGAUCUACGGAUGAAAGCGGGGGACCUUCGGGCCUCGCGCUAUAGGGUUGGCCGAUGGCUGAUUAGCUAGUUGGUGGGGUAAAGGCCUACCAAGGCGACGAUCAGUAGCUGGUCUGAGAGGACGACCAGCCACACUGGGACUGAGACACGGCCCAGACUCCUACGGGAGGCAGCAGUGGGGAAUUUUGGACAAUGGGCGAAAGCCUGAUCCAGCAAUGCCGCGUGUGUGAAGAAGGCCUUCGGGUUGUAAAGCACUUUUGUCCGGAAAGAAAUCCUUGGCUCUAAUACAGUCGGGGGAUGACGGUACCGGAAGAAUAAGCACCGGCUAACUACGUGCCAGCAGCCGCGGUAAUACGUAGGGUACGAGCGUUAAUCGGAAUUACUGGGCGUAAAGCGUGCGCAGGCGGUUUGCUAAGACCGAUGUGAAAUCCCCGGGCUCAACCUGGGAACUGCAUUGGUGACUGGCAGGCUAGAGUAUGGCAGAGGGGGGUAGAAUUCCACGUGUAGCAGUGAAAUGCGUAGAGAUGUGGAGGAAUACCGAUGGCGAAGGCAGCCCCCUGGGCCAAUACUGACGCUCAUGCACGAAAGCGUGGGGGAGCAAACAGGAUUAGAUACCCUGGUAGUCCACGCCCUAAACGAUGUCAACUAGUUGUUGGGGAUUCAUUUCCUUAGUAACGUAGCUAACGCGUGAAGUUGACCGCCUGGGGAGUACGGUCGCAAGAUUAAAACUCAAAGGAAUUGACGGGGACCCGCACAAGCGGUGGAUGAUGUGGAUUAAUUCGAUGCAACGCGAAAAACCUUACCUACCCUUGACAUGGUCGGAAUCCCGCUGAGAGGUGGGAGUGCUCGAAAGAGAACCGGCGCACAGGUGCUGCAUGGCUGUCGUCAGCUCGUGUCGUGAGAUGUUGGGUUAAGUCCCGCAACGAGCGCAACCCUUGUCCUUAGUUGCUACGCAAGAGCACUCUAAGGAGACUGCCGGUGACAAACCGGAGGAAGGUGGGGAUGACGUCAAGUCCUCAUGGCCCUUAUGGGUAGGGCUUCACACGUCAUACAAUGGUCGGAACAGAGGGUUGCCAACCCGCGAGGGGGAGCUAAUCCCAGAAAACCGAUCGUAGUCCGGAUUGCACUCUGCAACUCGAGUGCAUGAAGCUGGAAUCGCUAGUAAUCGCGGAUCAGCAUGCCGCGGUGAAUACGUUCCCGGGUCUUGUACACACCGCCCGUCACACCAUGGGAGUGGGUUUUACCAGAAGUGGCUAGUCUAACCGCAAGGAGGACGGUCACCACGGUAGGAUUCAUGACAGG